UUGCUUUGCCGGGAUGCUCAGCCCUCGCCGCGGUAGAAAAGCCUUUUCGGGACGAGCUCCCGUCGCCCGCCCGGCGUGCCGGGGGGUGUCGCGGGUGGGGUGAGAAGGUCUCCUCUCCAAAGUUUUGCGUGUGGGGAGCAAGCGUGCCUCUCCUCCUCGGAUUACUCUGCCUUUGCCUCUAAUUUCUUCCUCCAAAUGCAUCAACACGUGCUUUCCUUUCUCCCGGCCGAGAGCGAUGUUCAACCGGGCUGAAACUCGGCAGGUCGGCGGGCUCGGUGCAAAAUUCCCCAGGCUGGGGGGCUGCCCGGGGCGGGGGGGGGGGUCUGCAGCCCAGGAGAGCAGUGGCCGUGGUUGAGCAUCACCGCAGAGAUGCUCUCCAGCCCGUCCGGGGCCGUCGCACACGCUUGCCACGGUUUUCACGCCUGGCGUGGGUGAGGUAGCUCAUGGCAUGGAGGAGGGGGUGCGGGUCUGUGCCCCCCCCCCCGCCCCGGGGGGGUCUCCGGUGCUGCGGCGAGACACUGCAGCUCCUCGCUGUGCAAAGUGCUCUGGCAGCCGAGUUGUCCUAGAAAGUCUGUAAGUCUUGUUUCUCCAUUCGGUGACGUCAGGUCGUUCAAAUUAGACGCUACGUGAAGAUUUCACGUACAGCUGUACGCGAAGAUUUCAUGAAUAAGGGUUUUCUCCUUGAUAAUUUUAAGAUUUAAUUUACUUGACGGAGAGAGCGAGUUUGCAACAGCACGGUGCCUGUCGCUGGGUAGUGCCGCCGUCUCUCUCUGUGCCGUGCGGCCUCCACGGAGGCUGGUGUACCUUGGCAGAGCAUGCCCUCCUUAGGAAAUCCUCUGGAGUAAAAAGUAAGCGUAAUUUGUUAUGAAAUAGGCUGAUAGACCAAACUUCAGUUCGCGAUUGAAACCAGAUGUGCAUAUUUUCCUUUUGAAUCCUCAAACAAUAACAGAAGUCUAUUUUGACAGAUUAAAAACUACUUGCAAAUUGCAGGGGUAGCGGUGUCUUGCGAUAAUACAGUAAAAACACGGAGGGCUGCGAGCACCUCCGCCCGCCUCUCACCAAUAUCGGGUAUCUCCGAGCGCAGGAGGCUGCCGCUGCGUUCCCUCCGAUCGCAAGGCGCAGAUUCCCUUGGCUCGCCUCUGACACGGGCAGAACUAUUUACCAGGGCUUGGCUGAGGGCUGGAAAAAGAAAUAAAGAAACCCCCAAACAAUGUAGAUAAUGUUUCUAGCGAAAAUAUUUGGGGUGGGUCACGAAACAGGUUAAUUAGAGCGAUAGUAAAAAACCUGAAUUUCAGAGCGGUUUGCUCUGUUAUUACCUGUCGUGGCUCACUGUAGGCUUGAAGAGAGCUUCUGAUUUAUUUCUUUGGUUUUAAAAGUCCUGCAGAGCCUGAGGAUGCUUGUGGUGGUGGGUGUGUUAGACCCGGCUCCGGUGCGGCCGGGCUCAGGGAUGCAGGAUUAGGGCUGUUCACCCCAUGCUGGAGGCAUUUCUCUUGGAGAAGGACACAGCCUCCUCGCUUUCAAAAGUGGGGGGAAAAACCCAACCAGAAAAAACCCAACCAAAACAACCUGCUGUGGAAUUGCUUCCUUCUCUCCACUUCAAAGGAGAGAAGGACGCCAUGUGGGGCACGGCCGCGCGUGCCGGCGGUUUUGCAGCUGAAUCCCUGGGUCCAGACUUUCUCAAUUCCAGGUUAAACCCGGAGAAAGGAGGGAAACUUCGGCAACUUCCCGCUCUGCACAGGGCCAAGGUGUCCAGGAACCGCGUCAGUUAUAGAAAGCAGAUGGCCUUUGGGAGGAAGAUCAGGCUGUCGAAUGAAAAACUUUGCGUGGAAAAUCGGGGCAAAUCGAUUCAGUAGAUAAUUGAUUUGUGUGAGUGAGAUCCAGAUUUUUAUAUAUGGAGAUCAGGCAGACUGCAGGACAGAGACAGCACUGAUGUAGGCUAAUGUUCAGGUGUGGAUACCUGCAUAAAUAAAUACGUGUGCAUAAAAAAAUACACGUGCAUAAAUAUACACACAUGCAAUAUAAAUCCCCAAAUCUGCUUCGGUUAAUUGUAUGUAAUUAAUUUUUUUAGUAUCAAAGGCUUGCUUCACUUUCAGCAAAGGUAUAGGUAGAACGAGACGUACAGCUUUUUGCCGAAACACCUGUGUUUCUGUGCAGAACAGGCAGGAUGGACCCUGUCCUGAAGGGGGAUGGAGGGGAAUUGGGUUUAUCCAAUUUGUCCAUUUUAUUAUUACUGGUUGACUUCGGAUUUCUCAAAUGACGGCUGUGUGGUUUGAGGCUGUUCUUCCUUUUUCUUUCUUUCUUGUAAUGUUGUAUGGAGUUUCUUUACUUGAUCUUCAUCGGGAUGGGGAUAGUUUGUACUUCCCUUGUAAAAUCUCAAGUAGAAAAGAGGGCACCCUAAGUCAAAAGGGCCCGUUUUGGUUUUGUUCCCUUCCCCCUUCCGUAUCACAUGGUUUAUAGAACAAUUUUGCUGGGAAAUAGUCCUAAUGAACAUUAAUCUGUGGCAAAGCAGACUUUGGACCAACGGGCUGGGGCAGGGCGAGGUGCCAGAGAUGCUCCUAGCUCUUCGGAGAGCUCAGCCCGGAGGGGUCGGAUCUCCUUCCCACGUCCCAGGGGAGGGAGAGGGGAAGCAGAGCCUUUGCAUCAGGUCUGCCCUCACCAAAACUAGGGUUGAAAUAGUUGAAAAUACCUCCAGAAAGACAAGCCCACAUUUUGUUCCCGUGGCCGUGGGGAACGAGGCCAGCAGAGGAGCUGAGGAGGUUGUUCCUCUCUAGCUCCUCAAGCGAGCUCUCUUCUUGGCUGCCUUUUUUUAAUUUUUUUUCUUUUUUUUUUUUUUUUUUUUGCUCCUUUCUCUCCCAAAACGGGGAGGAGGAGGAAGAGGAAGCAAGCCUGCUGACUCGGGGAAACAGAACAAAAAAAAAAAAAAAAAAAAAAAAAAAAAAAAAAAAGGAGGUCUGACGAGUAGCGGAGGGCUGUGACUAUCGGCGGUCUCGCGUGCCUGGUCCGAUGUGAUGGUGGAGCGAGGCGGCGAUAGCCGUUUCUUGGCAGGCUCCCCUGGCACGCCGCGGUUCACGUCGCGGGGGUCCCCGCGGGGCCGUGCAAAAAUAUCACCAAAACAACAGCUCCUCCGGCGCGUCUGCUCCCCGGAGAGCUAAAUAUAAACUAAUGGGGCAAAGAGAAGGGAAUUUUCCACCGUGCUACUCAUCUGUGCUUGCGAGCCUGCUGGGUCGUUAAGCCUGACGGGCUGCUCCCCCCUGGGGACCCCCCCCUGCCCGAGCCCGCUCCCCCCGACCCCAGCACGGCACGGCGAGAGUGCCACCGCUCCCUUUAGAGAUGAGACCUUCCCUAAAUUCCUCGAAAGCGGUCGGGGCAGCGGCAGACCUGAGCCCUGGCGCUCUGGUUCUGCGCUUAAGUACCCCUAUGAGCUGUGGCUGUGUUAUAAUUAUGAAAAAGGACUUUUCCAAGGUCACGCUAUGUGUCCGCAGUUGUAGCCUGGCUGCCUGCGACCCAGCUAUUUGCUUAGAGCAGCAAUGCAGAACGUGGCUCUGGUACAGUGAACCAGAGAGCAGAUCCUUGGGCUGUUUUGUUUUUCCAAACUUUUACGAGUUGGCUGCCUUUAGAGAGACAAAAAUUCCCAGGCAAGAGCUUAUUUCUGAAGCCCCGCCAAGCUGGUGCGAGCUCUGAUAGUACAGGCUGUGGAUGCGUGAGCCUUUAGUCAUCAACAGGUGAAGCAGGUAUUGAAAAUUAAGAAGUGUCAUCACGCAAUUAAUUUACAGCCAGAAUUUCUCCUGGCUUCAGGUGGUUCAUCCACGAGUUUUGAAGCCUAUGAAGUUUGCGAUGUUAGAUUCGUAAGAUACCGCACCUUAGGCAUCUAACAUAUGCUAUAUAAGAUAAGUAAGAUUUGAUAUGUUAGAAGUUUCUGUUGAACUGCACGGAAGGAGGAAUCUGCGUUGGACUGACCUGGAGGAGCACCGGAGCCGGCACGAAGCACGGCUGCUCCCAGCACCGCAGGCUGUGGGUCCCUGCGCAGGCGACUGGGGGUACCCGGGUGAGUUUGGCUCCCUAAUCGCUAUAUUUGAGCAGUGGUUUAAGGACUGGUCGAGGGAGUGCAAAAAAUCUGUUCUGGUGCAUUGAGUUUCUAUGCUCCCCCUCCAAAAAAAUAUGCCCAAGGGAGACUUGGUCAUGGUUUUUGCUUUUAGAGGAUUAAAUAUAGCAGCAUCAUUGGUGUCACUCCUCUGUAGUCCUUUUGAAGCAUCCCUCGGGCUAUAUCAUUCCCUGUAUCUGUGGAUCCUGGCCACAGCUUUUGCUUUCAGCAGCCAAAGUUCAGGGCUUGCGCUGUGCGGUAGGUAUGGGACGGUGGUGAAAGAAGAGUUUUACUUUGUGGCCGUUUUGUGCUUAUAUAUGGUUACGUCUCCUAGGGUUUGUAAAAAAUGAAAUCUGGCGAACUUCGAUCCGGCAGCUGGAAAACUUGCUCUCCCUCUCUCUGCUCAAAACCAGCCCUCGAAAGGAAGGACCAAAAAUCCGUUCAAUGGCAGAGGAGGAGCGGGGCUCAGGGGUGGGGGUGCGGAACGAUGCUGCUGUCAGGGUGCACCAGCAGCUUGCUCUGGUCUCAGCGGCUGGUCUGGACUGGGGGGGUUAGGAGACGCACCCCUCAUCCUGCUCCUAAAUCCAAGGUCUUCUCAGGGACGAGUUAAAGCAGAUUAUGUGCUUCCUUGCAUUUAAGAAAUUUCUUUUUUGUCCUUUUCCCCAUACCGACUCUUGCAGUGACCCAAGACAAGCCUUCGUGCUCCUCUGCCUCAGUUGCCCCAGUUGUACAACUGCUGUCAUCGUUAUUCUGCACCUCUGGGAAAUGUUAGGGAAGGGAAGGGAAACGGCGUUAAUGAAGACAACUACGCUUGUCUCGGGUUAGGACAGCUUAGCAGCACAGUUAGGCCAGGGGUGGUAGCAAUUUCUCGUUUCAGGUGAUGUGGGAAAGUCACAAUAACUGUGAGUUUUGUAUUUGUGUGCUUACCUUAACGUUACUGAAAAUAGCCUCCUGGUGUGCUGGGUAGUAGUUGUCCAUGCUAUAAAAUUACUUCAAGUAUAUAUAUAAUUAACCCCUGUAUUGCACGCUUGUUUUCUCUCAGCCGUUACAAAUGAAUAUUGUAUAACAUUUUUGAAAGGACAAGUUUUAAUGCUAUUAAAUAGAUGCCAAAAGCUACAAUUGUGUGCCAAAGCUGAAGAUCCGUUACAAUUAUGGAGAUACAGAAAGCAUUAGGAAUAUCCACAUUUGGUUUUGCAGCCUCUCUGUUAGUUCAGAAAAAGAUUAUCUCUUUAUUGGACUAUCAGUUGUGUUAUAAUUGAAAUACAAUGUGAUGGAUGGUACUUCUUGGAGCGAAAGUAUUGUGGUUAAUGAAGAUUUACAGUUACCGAUAGCUUCAUUUAGAAACUAUCACCCGCGUUUUUGGUUGCACAUGGUUUAUAUUGCUGGUAGAAGAUUACUUUUCCCAUGGAGGUUUCAGGUGAAUUGUUAAGUAUUUUAAACUUAAUUUAAAAAAAAAAUUCCAACACUCCAGCAUGAUGGAUUGCGCUUUUGAUGCCCUCCCUGUGCCCGUCCCUUGCACACCCCCACGAUAGACUGUGAAGGUGACAGGGGACCGUACUGGGACAUGGGGACUGCUGGGCACGGGGAUGUAGCAGCUCACUCGAGGCGUAGGGCAGCGAGCCAGGAGAGCUGCGCGCCUGGACACCGCUCCGUGUAUCGCUAGUUUUAGUAAUUUUCUGAAUUAAUUCCUGCUGGAGCAUGUCUUUUAGAAAAGCCAUCCAGUGCAGAGAUAAAAACAUAGCGAGGAUUGAGAACCCACCGCAGCCAUUUAUUAUGCUGGUAAUUUAUUGCAGUGAUUAUUGUCCAUGCUGUUCAGGAAAAAAAUUGCACUUUGCCCUUACUCUGAAUCUGCAUAGUUCCGACUUCCCGCAGUGCUGGGUGGUGUUACAGCGCAGGUCUGCUCCGUCUGAAGGACCUGCUCGGCAUCUCCUUCCCUCUCUGAGGGCGGCCAGGUCGUUCCUGAGCACUUACCACUUGAUGUUCCCCCCAAUCUUGCGCCGUACCCGUGUCUUCAAGUCCCUCAGUUACUCCUGGGGUCUUCUCCAGACCUUAACCAGACGCGGCAGAAGGCUCCAGUUGCCUGUAGUGGUCGUGGAGAGCACAGAGGCAAUACCGUCUCUUCUCCUCCUGGAGAUCCCCAAUUUAUCCAGCCUUGAUAACCCACUGCGCAGUGCAGGAGCCUGGGGAUGUGCCCCUGCCUUUGAGGUGAGUGUCUUUUAAGUAAUUUAUUUCUUUAAGGCGUAUCUUAACAUCUCAGUUAAACUGUGCUGGUUGCCUCUCUCCGUUGUGUAUCAUCAAGUUGUUCUCCGUAUGUAGUGCUCUGCCAGUUUUGAGUCACUUACACAGCACUGAUUUUCCUGUUUCCUUCCCAAUUACUGCCAGAAAUAUUACAUGACAUAAGGUGAAAGUCUAGUUCUUCUUGAAGCCAGUACUGCCUGUUUAUUUGCGGGUCUGUUUGAGAUGUGUCAGUUAAGUAGUUAUCGAUAACUGUCCUCCAUUUCGAUGCGCUUUAAUCAAGUCUGUUUUGCCAGCGCUCCCUUGCACCGGCACAAAGCCGUGGAGCGAGAUGAGAGCUCUUUUCUCAGGGUUGUUAGUCGUGCUUCCUGACUCUCCGUCCUUGGGCUGAAACCGGAGCCUUGCAGGGCUCGUUUUCUCAGGGCCAUCACAUUUACCACGCUGGCUUGUGCCUGUCCUCUGGGAACAUCGGCGGUGAUGGCUCGGAAGACUUUUUGGCACGAUCAUAUAAAAGUUGAAGGUGUAAAUUAUUUGGAGCUGUUGUUUAAGAAAAAUCUAUGUUUAGUGCCUGCUGUUUAAUAUCAUCCCGGGUUACUCUUGACAAAUGUGACCGUAUCAUUUUACUUUCUCCUUAGGACGGCAUUAAAGUACAUAUUGACCAUUUCUCCCUUUUCUGCAUCGUGACUGAUGUUGCUGCCGUUAUUUCUGACUGCGGAGCACCGUUGUCAGUGGGACUUCUGGUUGUCCUUAAUGUCUAUAAAAAAACCCCUGUAUCUCGUUUUCUAACAGAGCCUGAUGUUUAACUUGCAGUCUCAUGCAUUUUAAGGUGGUGUCAGUAUUUUAGAGACUUCAAAAUGAUUUACAAAUUCUAGGAUUCAUUAAUUCCUUUGCUCAUUAAUGUAGCAAGUUGAUAGGUGUUUUUCCAUAUGAUGAAGGUGGACAUUUUUGCUGCCCUGUUUGUACUGGGCAAUCAUUUAUGUUUGUGCACUGACAAAAUACCUGGCGUUGAUUCCCUUCCCGAUAGCCUGCUGGCAGCUUUGGAACCGGGAUGGGAUGCAGCAUUUAGGUCAGUUCUCCUCGGGAUGCCGUUUCAGGAGGGGACUUCAUGGUUCACACCACGCUGGUGCUGGGGCUGACCCCUCUGUCCUUUGUGCUUCCCAUUUCCAUGGCACCGAGGAAUCCGUUUCUCCUCCUGAUUUUCACCUGUGUGGUGAGAGGGAUGUAUGGAGAGUAUCCAGAGAUGGAGACUCUUGGGGUGGAAAAUGCGGAUUUUUUUUUUUUUUUUUUUUUUUUCCCCCCCUCCCUUUACUGCAUGUUCACACUGUCAUAAAUGAGCUCGAGGAAGGCUGGGCAGGACGAUGUUUCUGCCAGCCCAAAUAAAAGCAGGGACUGUUUUCAUUUGCGCUUACUGCUGGAUAGGUUUCUUUCUCUCAUCUCCGAGACGGGCUGCAAAAUCUGAGCUUUUAUGGGUGCCAAGCUAUAGUGGGGCUCGUCCUGGUGGGAAUUAGGCACCUCCAGGGGAUGAAGCAUCCCAACACUGGGAAAACUGUCCUCUGCGAGCAUUACUUUUCUGGCUGGGCGAUCGCCUGGUGGGUUACCUCGCUGGAGCCGUACCCCAGUCUCGCAGCGGCACGGGGGGGAAAUGUUCCGCUGCCCGGCCCUCGGGCAGCCCCUGAAGGAGCCAAACCUGCAGGAGGUUUGGGCUCUACGUGCUGCUGACACCUCCCGGGAGCUGAGAGUGUAUUAUAGCAACAGAUUCUGUAUUAUUCCAGCCUCACAAGCGUCUCCCUGCAAUAUUAAAAACACCAGCUGAAACCCAAGUCCAGACUCUCAAUGAAUGACUCUGUGGAAAUGCUGUUGGGCGCGUUUCGGUGCCGCUUUGGCUUUGAUUUAAAUGGGUAAACACGGUGAGUGGGUGUUCGCUUUGACGUCUUCCUCAUAGCGAAAGCCUUCCUUUGAGGGAACGUGAAGCCUCCAGUACGAUCCCCCAUCCCAGCACCGGACCAUUCUGCCCACAGCUUGGUGUUGGCGAUGCCUUCGCUGCGUGCCCAGGCCCCGUGCUGCCAGGCUUGCCCAGCAGCAGUGGGAAACCCCUGAUUUCCCCAAGUAUCGGGGAUGCUGUGUGCCCAGGGCUCUGCUCGCAGGUACGAAUAACCCUCGCGGAGCUUGGAUUUCUCCGUCUGGAUGCGGCGUGAUCAUCUCGCCCGGCUGGGAUGAUGCUGCGGGACGUCCUUGGCUUUUGAAGUCAUCUCCCCCCUGCUUGUCCCACACUCUUAAGCUCUGUUCCCCCCAAAGCUUCCCAAAAUCACCUCCGGCUUUGGCUGCACCAGGUUUAUGUGCUGGGAAAUAGCCUUGCCGUGCAGCGGGCGGUCGCUGGAGGAGGCAGGGUGGUUGCAACCCGUCGUCUCCUUGCCCUGCUGAAUUAGGAAGAGCCCCUUCUCCUCCUCACACAUUCCCCCAUUGCCACCAGAGCUAUCGAAACCGGCUCCUUGGCAGCCCGUGCACGUAGGAGCCGUCUUCUGGUAACAGAUUGUUAUGUAUUUAAUGAACCCGAGGAAAACAAGAAAUUUGAAGGCUGCGGGGCGAUACAAGUUUGCUGUUCAGUCUGCCAAAUUCGUGCUAAUUCAGACAACUCACAGAUGUUUGGCUCCUCGUUCAUUAAAGAGAUUUAUGUAAGAUGCAGGGCUCGGAAAUUUAUUCCCGGUGUGCCAGAGAGAUGGAGGUGGCAGCGUGGGCAAAGGUUUCCCAGCCCCAGAGGACUCCUUCCCUCCCUCCGCGGCCGUGCCACUGCCGUACCUUCCUCUUGCCAAUGUUGAUGGCAACGAACGGACAAACAGCAGGGAAAUGUGCCUUUCGGUCGCUAGGAGGAUUAAUAAAGGCUCUAGGUUCGCCUUUCAGGAGCCGAGGAGCUCUUUGAAAGCUAUUUUUCAGCUGAGGAAUGAAACUCCAGAGAUUGCCCGAGAGCUGAAGUACUUUGGUCUGACGCGAACAGUGGUCUCGUAGGGUUUGCAGGUGACGGCCGGCAUGUGUGGUACCCUCUGUGGGCACAGAGACCGUCUGCUGAAAGCAUUUGAAACUCUUGAAAUGUUGCCUGCCUAGUUCAGGUAGAUAAUUUCAAUUUUUGGAGGGUCCUAAGUGAUUAUUUUGCUGGGCUUCACCGGAAGGUUCUGCAAUCUUAGGGUAUUUAUUUAUCCAUAAAGGGGAAGUGGUAGGAGAUGAUGUGAAGUCUGGCAAUCGAUGCAUACAUCAGUAUUUCCCUGCUUUGAAUUCAGAUAUUUCUUUAGGGGCCGUCAGCCUAUACCAAUUCUGCAGCUCAGCCUCAAAAAAGGGAGAAACCUGACUUGCAAGCAGUAUCCAAAUCUGUUCGGAGAGGGAUGGUGGUGUUCUGGCGCUUGGCAAGCUUUCCUCAAUUAUGUUACGAAAUGUCCCAGAUCUUGCUCAUGCUUGGUCCAUGCGGUGGUUUUUUGGUGGUUGCCGAUGAGUAGAAAGCAUUAUAGUUGGCGUUGCAGCGCUGAACUCGCUUUGCAGCUCCAAGACGUGCAGAGACCCCAAGACCUUUGGAGUAAGCAAGGAAGCCCGGGCUGGCCAAGAAGCCCCCCCUAACCCUCAGAGCAUUAUUAUCUGGCUGUAAGUACGUGGAUGCCGUGUUAGAGUUGCCAGGGAGGAAAAGGCAAAGUCACUGCCAGCACCAUUUUCUUCGAGCUAAGAUGUUGAGACAAAGCACCUCUGCCCCAGCCCUGUCCUUUCAGUCCCUUUCUGCUGCUCGCGUGUAAGGGAGUCUUUCCCCUGCCACUCCUAUUCCCUAAGAGCACGGGGGCAAUAAACCUGAUGUGUUUUACUCAA
This is a long non-coding RNA of Aquila chrysaetos chrysaetos, 10159 nucleotides long. RefSeq lists it as uncharacterized. The record is from RefSeq and is a predicted model, not a curated record. NCBI's taxonomy places the organism in Eukaryota, Metazoa, Chordata, Aves, Accipitriformes, Accipitridae. The transcript has 2 exons.